Molecule: unclassified non-coding RNA, 379 nt
Filed under: uncultured Caryophanales bacterium
Lineage: Bacteria; Bacillati; Bacillota; Bacilli; Caryophanales
Description: uncultured Bacillales bacterium contains 16S-23S intergenic spacer region
Source: RNAcentral
UCCGGUUUGUCACCGGCAGUCACCUUAGAGUGCCCAGCGCGACCUGCUGGCAACUAAGAUCAAGGGUUGCGCUCGUUGCGGGACUUAACCCAACAUCUCACGACACGAGCUGACGACAACCAUGCACCACCUGUCUCCCUUGUCCCCGAAAGGCCUACACUGUCUCCAAUGUAUUCAAGGGGAUGUCAAGACCUGGUAAGGUUCUUCGCGUUGCUUCGAAUUAAACCACAUACUCCACUGCUUGUGCGGGUCCCCGUCAAUUCCUUUGAGUUUUAAUCUUGCGAUCGUACUCCCCAGGCGGAAUGCUUAAUGCGUUAGCUGCGCCACCGAAGAGCAUGCUCUCCAACGGCUGGCAUUCAUCGUUUACGGCGUGGACUAC